UACGUAGGGUGCAAGCAUUAAUCGGAUUUAUUGGGCGUAAAGGGCGCGUAGGCGGGGAUGCCAGUCAAUUGUGAAAUCCCGGGGCUCAACCUCGGAACUGCAGUUGAAACUACAUCCCUAGAGGGUAGGCGGAGAAAACGGAAUUCCACAAGUAGCGGUGAAAUGCGUAGAUAUGUGGAAGAACACCAGUGGCGAAGGCGGUUUUCUAGCUUAUACCUGACGCUGAGGCGCGAAAGCAAGGGGAGCAAACAGG
This 253-nucleotide ribosomal RNA is filed under the name uncultured bacterium. RNAcentral describes it as "partial 16S ribosomal RNA". It matches the Rfam family "Bacterial small subunit ribosomal RNA", at positions 524 to 776 of the family's 1533-position model. The record is from RNAcentral.